This 403-nucleotide long non-coding RNA is filed under the name Ananas comosus (pineapple). RNAcentral describes it as "long non-coding RNA (ACOM_LNC039597)". Lineage: Eukaryota; Viridiplantae; Streptophyta; Magnoliopsida; Poales; Bromeliaceae. The record is from RNAcentral.
UUCUCUCUCUCUCUCUCUCUCUCUCUCUCUCUCUAUAUAUAUAUAUAUAUAUAUAUAUAUAUAUAUAGUUGAUUUGUCUAAUUUAGCCUUUAAAAUCAAAAUAAAAUUCACUUAUUCUGAUAAUUAUUAUUUAUUUUACAGAAAUUAAAUAAUUGGCUUCUUUUAGAGUAAAUCAUUUAAAAUUCUCUCACAAGUACCUACCCUACUCUUCUUAGAUCACUUUCUUCUUAUUCAACCAAAAUUUCUCUCUCAAAAUUUUAAGUAUUCCAAUUGUCCAUUCAUAUUUUCGUUACAAUAAUGAACAAGUAUUUUUAGACAAUCCGUCAUUUUAUUUUCCAUUCUAACACAGUCUAAUCAUAUAUUCCAUUUCCAUUCUAAUUUAUAAACCAAUUAUGUCCUAAAU